UGCGCGAGUUAAUAGGAAUUUAAACCUAUAAGCGAAAUGAAAGUAAAGAUUCGUUUUAUACGAUUCUAGGGCAGAUGAAUUGUGGUAAUCCACAUGUUCCGCAUGCCCGGGGCGUCCCGUUCUUAUUGCAAGAUGGGGCGCACCUAGAGCGUACAUGCUGGGACCCGAAAGAUGGUGAACUAUGCCUGGUCAGGACGAAGUCAGGGGAAACCCUGAUGGAGGUCCGUAGCGGUUCUGACGUGCAAAUCGAUCGCAAGAACUGGGUAUAGGGGCGAAAGACUAAUCGAACCAUCUAGUAGCUGGUUCCCUCCGAAGUUUCCCUCAGGAUAGCUGGCGCUCGUUGUAUACGAGUCUCAUCUGGUAAAGCGAAUGAUUAGAGGUAUUGGGGUCGAAACGAUCUCAACCUAUUCUCAAACUUUAAAUGGGUGAGAUCUCCGGCUUAUUUGAACGUAAAGCCGUGAGAAUCGGAUCAGAGUGCCAAGUGGGCCACUUUUGGUAAGCAGAACUGGCGCUGUGGGAUGAACCAAACGCCGAGUUAAAGCGCCUAAAUCGUUGCUUAUGGGAUACCAUGAAAGGUGUUG
Molecule: ribosomal RNA, 581 nt
Filed under: Gymnochthebius sp. MNCN-AI569
Lineage: Eukaryota; Metazoa; Arthropoda; Insecta; Coleoptera; Hydraenidae
Also listed under: 1 other name
Description: eukaryotic LSU rRNA
Rfam family: Eukaryotic large subunit ribosomal RNA
Source: RNAcentral